This 21-nucleotide microRNA is filed under the name Branchiostoma belcheri (Belcher's lancelet). Its description in RNAcentral is "bbe-miR-4878-5p". Lineage: Eukaryota; Metazoa; Chordata; Leptocardii; Amphioxiformes; Branchiostomatidae. The record is from miRBase by way of RNAcentral.
AUUUGGAGUGCAGAGUGGCCU